GCCAAGUGUGGUGGCGCACACCUGUGAUCCUAGCUACUGGGGAGCUUGAGGCAGGAGGAUCACAAGUUCGAGCCCAGCCUGGGCAACUUAAUGAGACCCUGUUUCAA
RNAcentral lists this small RNA (107 nucleotides) under Marmota monax (woodchuck). Lineage: Eukaryota; Metazoa; Chordata; Mammalia; Rodentia; Sciuridae. The record is from RNAcentral.